GGGAAAUUUUGCAAGUACAUCAGGCUUCAACUCUUCCAACCAUAAAAUGUUUUCCAGUAAAUGCACAUCAGCUUUGCUCAGCUUGUUGCCAACAAGAAAGUCAUGCCCGUGGUCUUUCAAAACCUUCUCAAAGACUGGCAAGUAUCUGUUUGUGGCCUUGUCCAAAAUAUUAGCAAGGUCUUUCUCCAUUUCAUUAGCUGGUUUGAACUCAUGGUGCAAGAUUAACUCAUUCAGAUCUGCCAGUCCUUCCACAUACAUGUCAAUUAGGGCUCUCUCCUUCAGAUCCUUCCCGUAGAGAUUGUAUUUCCCUGCUAUGUAGUUGAGGAUGGCUCUGGUCUGCACCAACUUCAUCCCAUCGAUCUCCACCAUGGGCACUUGCUGGAACAGCAGGAAUCCAUCUGUCCUUAACUUUUGGAGAUCAUCCUUUGUUUUCAGAAUUCUUUCUUCAAACUCCACUCCAGCAGCUGCUAGUAGCCACCUUAUUGGUUCCAUUCGGCCUCGUAUAUUGGCAUAGUGCAGAACUGGCUUCCCAGACAUGUUUCCACGUGUCUGAUUUCCUGCGGAUAGGUCUCCUGGGCGGGCCGCCACUCUCUGUUCUGCCGCAGCUAAGCGCGCUUCGCCACCGCUACAGCCGACCGCUCCCCCUCCGCAGCCGUCGCCGCGCAGCUCCAGGUCCG
Molecule: long non-coding RNA, 677 nt
Filed under: Gallus gallus (chicken)
Lineage: Eukaryota; Metazoa; Chordata; Aves; Galliformes; Phasianidae
Source: RNAcentral